AAGACACUAGUUAAAUACGUAAUAACACCGCCUUGUCAAGGCCGAAUUGUGGGUUAGAGCCCCGCGUGUCUUG
RNAcentral lists this transfer RNA (73 nucleotides) under Labrus mixtus (cuckoo wrasse). RNAcentral describes it as "tRNA-Asp". It matches the Rfam family "tRNA". From Rfam's summary of the family: Transfer RNA (tRNA) molecules are approximately 80 nucleotides in length. Their secondary structure includes four short double-helical elements and three loops (D, anti-codon, and T loops). Lineage: Eukaryota; Metazoa; Chordata; Actinopteri; Labriformes; Labridae. The record is from RNAcentral.